ACGUAGGCACCAAGCGUUAUCCGGAUUUAUUGGGCGUAAAGAGCUCGUAGGCGGUUCAGUCAGUCGGGUGUGAAAACUUGAGGCUUAACCUCAAGAGGUCACUCGAUACUACUGUGACUAGAGUGCGGUAGGGGAGCGGGGAAUUCCUGGUGUAGCGGUGAAAUGCGCAGAUAUCAGGAGGAACACCAGUGGCGAAGGCGCCGCUCUGGGCCGUAACUGACGCUGAGGAGCGAAAGCAUGGGUAGCAAACAGG
RNAcentral lists this ribosomal RNA (253 nucleotides) under uncultured bacterium. RNAcentral's name for it is "partial 16S ribosomal RNA". It matches the Rfam family "Bacterial small subunit ribosomal RNA", at positions 525 to 776 of the family's 1533-position model. The record is from RNAcentral.